UUGAAGUGUUCUUCUUCUUCUCUUAUUCCCAAAUCCUAAUUUUGCUUGAACCUUUGACUUCUACUGUAGCACUUCUUCGAUUUCAGGUACAAAGGCAUUUUUACGCUGGUUGUUAAAGAGUAAACAGGAUUUUUAUGCUGAUUUUGAGUGUUUUUCACCGCCUCAAUUUGUUAACUUACAGGAAUGGAACAAAAUAGAGAUAAUGUGUCUAUCGAAGAAAGAACUUUUGACAGAAAUUUGCGUCGUCGUACUAGAUAUGCACAGAUGUCAUCAGAGAGAAAGGAAUUAUUAUUAUCCCAGCUAAGAGAAAAAAGGGCUACAUCGAAAAGACAAAAACUCCUUCAUCAAUCAAAUAGUACUGCCGCUCUUACAAUCAGCACUUCUUCGUUAUCUCCUCAACAAGUUGAAGCUUCCAAAGCUACAAACCUACCAGUUACUUCAAUUAGAGGAGAACGUAUAGUUAAUUUCUUAUCUACCUUCGAAGUAGGAUCAACAUCGACUGCAUCUCAUGCUGCAACUAAAUUAAAUUCAAGAUGUAAUGCAAAUAGAGGUAUGCUUCUUUCUACCAAAGUAAUAAAAAAACAUGCAU
Long non-coding RNA from Solanum tuberosum (potato), 589 nucleotides. RefSeq lists it as uncharacterized. The transcript has 5 exons. The record is from RefSeq and is a predicted model, not a curated record. Lineage: Eukaryota; Viridiplantae; Streptophyta; Magnoliopsida; Solanales; Solanaceae.